Long non-coding RNA from Leopardus geoffroyi (Geoffroy's cat), 531 nucleotides. RefSeq lists it as uncharacterized. The record is from RefSeq and is a predicted model, not a curated record. The transcript is spliced from 4 exons. Lineage: Eukaryota; Metazoa; Chordata; Mammalia; Carnivora; Felidae.
AACAUUCUGUUUCUGGGGGAACAUCCAGCUUCUGGCAAUCUCUUCGCAAACCAAUCAUCUGUGUUCAAGUGCUGGAUUCAGGCUCUGUUUUAGAAGAACCCAAAAGAGGACAGAAGGUGGCAGUUGAGCUGGGAGGAGUCGGUUGAGGGGAGGAGUGGGUUGAGGUUGUGUGUGCGCCCAGGGGGCAAGGUGCCUUCCACGUGGACAGCAUUACAGCUGUAAAGUUACCCAGGACCAGGAGUGGUCCUUGGAGGCCUAUUUCAAGGAUUUGGUCCAAAUCCAGAGCCUCGAGACAAUAAAAAGGCUGCUGAAUGGUUACUGAGGAGAACGGCUGAACUCUCACUGAGCUACUUCGACGGAGGAACCGAAUCGUUUGUAAUCCAUGAGACAAAAGAAGGGCCAUCUGUGGGUUUCAACCUAAACAGUAGUUGGACUCAGGCCAACCAAAGAUGCCUUUCUGAUGCAGGUUCAAAUGCCUCCAGCAGAUCAAACUGAAAAGUCAUUGAAGAAACAACUUUGUAACAUGGAGGG